GUUUUAGUAAAAUUAUUAAAUUAUUUUUAGAAAUUCACUUCCUUUAAUUUAUUGUUAAAGGCCUGGUUUCAAUAACAGCAUUUUAAUCCCUGAAUGGUUAGUAAACUAAAAAAUCCAACAAUAUUUGUGAGCUAAUAACAAUGCCUCCAAAAUCACAUGAUGAAAACCGUGCUCAAGUUUGUGUAAUUUGCUUUUGCACAAGGGGAAAAAAGGCACACAGACAAGUUACUAACACACAAUAGAUUGAACUGAAGGCUCAUUUGAUGUCAAACUAUUCACUGCAAGAUCCAAGGUUUCCAUCUGGGCUUUGUAUUGACUGCAGAUUGGACAAGAUAAAAAAUGGAGAUUCUACAGUCAAUCUAUUAAUAGCAGAGAACUAUGAUCCAGAGCUGAAAACUAUAACAAGGUCUAUAGAAAGAUGUAAGUGCAUAAUUUGUAAAAUUGCUAGCUUUAAUGGUCUUCAGUGGAAGUUAUUUGUCAACAAACAGAAGAAUAAAUCUAAUAAUUCAAGAUUAUUUUCCAAACGGAUCUGCUCACACUCCUUUGCCAGUAUCUGCAGGGUAUCAAGCCACUCAAAAGAUAAGUGUAAACUAAGAUUGGAAAUAAUAGUUAACAUUAUAUAACCGAUCAGUUAUAAAACUAUAAAAACAAAGAAAGAAUCAGGCAAUUUGGUCAUCUCCAUUACAUCCCCUAAUGGUGGAAAAUUUUUGAUACUAUCCCUGGAAGAGAACAACGAAACAAUAGUUGAGGUAUUUCUGACUGCAGAGAAUGUCUUUGCAAUACAACAGGAAACUAGGCUGACUGAUCGUCAUGUUAUUUCAGUUCUGAAAAACUUUAGACUUAAAUGGGGAUGGAAAUGUAUUGUUCCUUGUAUAAAGGAGACUAUGAGGGAUCAGAAAGGUAUUUUUGGAAAGUUAUUUUCUCAGAAAUAACUACGUUUCAAGACUCUAAUAGCAUAACUCUAAAAAUUCCAGAGACAUCAUAACUUCAAGAUAUUCAUAGAGAAGGCUCAAAUCAAUCUUCUGUUGUUUAACUUUACUGGUGACCUAAAAUAAUAUCAUGUGCAUCAAAAUAUCCAUGCUUAUACUGUGAGUCUUCAAAUUCUGUUGUUUAACUUUACUGGUGUCUGGAGUAAUAUCAUGUGCAUCAAAAUAUCCAUGCUUAUACUGUGAGUCUUCAAAUAGCGAAGGAAAUAAAGCCUGGCAGACAGAUGCUACACUCAGAACAUUUGGGAAUAUUGAAUACCACAGAGAGGAUUGGCUAACUUCCAGAGGUAAAAAAAUCAAAGCAAAAGAGUAUAAUAACUGUGUGACAACUCCUUUAUUCUUUCAUGAGGAUGAUCCUGAUGGGAGCUUGGUGAUCCUUAAGAGUCCACCACCAGAUUUUAAUCUUAAGUUGUCCCUAAAUCAUGUCUUUAAGAAGUUACAAAACAUUUGGGCAGGACUUCAGGAUUGGUUAGCAGGGCAUUCUAUUCUCUUUGAACCAUACCAUUGUGACACACUUGAAGGUAAUGAGUGUUCUAAAGUUCUAAGGCUACUUGAUAGUUUGGAAAAAAUACUUCCUAUGAAGCUGUCUGGUUUUUUGGAUUACAUGCAUGACUUUUCAAAGGUCAUUGACUCUACAUUUGGCGUGUCUGUAAAUCCUGAUUAUAAAAAUGUUCUUAAAAACCUAGGGAUGUCUUUUAGUUCUUUACAUGAAGAGUUUGGAGUGUCUGAAACUCCUAAGCUUCAUGUAAUACUCACACAUAUUGAGCAGUUCAUCGACAUCACAGGAGACAUCACAGGAAAGGGACUCAGUCAGUUUUCAGAACAGGAGUUAAAAAACUCACAUUCAGCAUUCUUGGUAGUUGGGAGCAAUACCUGAUAAAAGACAUUUCUUCACCUAAAUAUAUGGAGAACUACUCUGAGGCUGUCCUAAAUUUUAAUGCUAAUAAUAUUUAGUUACAUAGUAUGCAAAAUAUGUAUUUUCAGUUUUUAUACCUAGUUGUACUUAACUGUAAACUGUAUUUUAAAUUACUUUAAAAAAAGAUUUUAUACCUUUUUUUAUUUUUGCAGGUUUUUGUUUUUUAAUUUUAUAAUUUUUAUAACUAUUAUAUAUAUGUAAAAGAAUGGUACAAUACAUUUUUUUGGCUGAUUGUAGAGGUUCAGUUUUACUCAGGCACACGGUGGACUAAGAUAUAGUUGCUAUUAAGUUAGAAAAUUUACUACAACUUAGUCUAAGUUGUCGUGUAGCAUUAUUUAAUAUGUUAUUUUUUCAAGUUCCUGACUCUCAAAACACGAAGUUGUAAAAGAAACUGUUAUUGAAGUCAGGUAUUGCUAUGAAAAUUAAGAAAAAACUUAACAAGAAAAAAAGAGCAUUUAAUAGAAGGCUUAAAAUGCUGCAAGUUAUUUAGGAAAACACAAAACAAAAAUAAUUUCAAAUACAAACAAAAAAAUAAAAAUCAUUGGAAAAAAGUAGAUCACUGAGUUAAAAUUAACCAGCCACUGCAAGCCUUAGAAAAUCACAAAUAAAAAACUGUUUAAAACAGAUGGUUCCCUAUCAAUAUAUAAAUUUUGCAAUUAUUGUUACUUAGUAGUUUUUUUCAGAAAUUUCACUUCAAAAGAAGCAUGUAUUACUUAUAAGAAUAUAUGCAUAAUGAUAAUUAUGCAUAUAUUCAUAUAAUCUUAUAUGCAUAAUAAUUUACUUAUUAAAUUAUCAUAAUUUAAAUAGUUUAAUGCGUGUUUCAAUCAAUCUUAUGCACAUUUAUUUUAUAGUUUUUAUUUUUAAGAUUAAAUAUUAACUAAAAAAUAAAAAUAUAAAUAUAAAAAAAUAAAAUAAAAAAUAUAAAUUGGCAUUAGACUAUUGACUAACCACUGGUUAACUAUGACUUAUUAAUUAUUAAACAUCUUGGAAAGCAGAUUUGAAUUUCAGUUUUUUACCAUACUUUAACUUUAGUUAAUUGCAGUUAUUGUGAAACAUCUUUUAGUGUUAAUUCCAGUGGUACUAGUCAGCUUGUAAAGCAGAAUAAAGUAAAAUAAAACAGUAAUUAGGGUACCAGGCAAUGUGUAUGUGAUCACAUAUUAUUGCAACUAGUAGCAUUUUUAUAUUUGUGAUGAUAUCGCCAAAGGCGUUAUGUUUGUGCUGUUUUUUGCAUUAGCAGUCAUCAAUUCUUAGUCAUUCAAUAGUACGCAGAGGCUGAUAUUUAUUUUUCCACCUCAGUUAUAGCAUUCUAUGCAUUCCAUUGUGGUGGAAGGCUUAAGAUAAACCAAGUGAGUCAGAAUGAAAGUUUACAAAGAGUUUACAAGGAUACUGUGCAUGUCAAGUUGUAGGUCAGCAACUUUAUUUCUAACUUUAUUAUACUUAGAUGCGUUUAGCACAAUAAACAUUGUGUUCACUGGUAUUUAUAGAAUUUAUCCAUGAUAAGAAGUUAUUUACUUUAGAAUGUUUGUUGAUUAGAGAUUAAGAUGGGGUCAGUAGUUUGUGUGCUUUGGCAAUAUAAAACUUUUGUGCCAAAAGCAUUGGCUAGAUAUUAUAGUGAUAUUAUAAAGAGCUUGUAAAAUUUUGUUUCAGUUGAUUAUGUAUGUGCAGGCUAUAAAUGAAGGAUCAGUGUUGAUUUGUUGUGUCUGUUACCAGAGCGCUAAUUAUUACUUAUUUAGAGUUUAGUGGAUCUAAAGCCUUGUUCAUUAAGGUAUUUUGUAGUUUAAAAAUUGGUUUAAAAAAAAAAAGUACCCUUCCUAAUUUAAGUAGCUCUCUGCAGCCUUGAAUUGCUCAUCUCUAUAUAAUAAUGUUGAACUAAUAGUUUAUUUAAAGCCAAGGUAAUGACGAGAUAAAGCCCCUUAGCCCUUUUUUAUAAGGAAGUAUAAGAACUUUAUUUACAACUAUAUAAAUAUAUAUUUAUAUAACGUUAUGUUGUUAUUAUAUAAUGUUAU
This is a non-coding RNA of Hydra vulgaris (swiftwater hydra), 3908 nucleotides long. Lineage: Eukaryota; Metazoa; Cnidaria; Hydrozoa; Anthoathecata; Hydridae. The record is from RefSeq and is a predicted model, not a curated record.